CUUCACGACGCGCGAUAUUCCGGUCGACGAUAAGAAAUCAGUCACUUUCCCGUCGUUUCUCAGUUGCUUAGCCAUUGCGAAUAGCGGGACGGCGGCACGUGAUAAUGGAACAAGCUCAAUGUAUAUGCACCUGCUGCUGCCGAAUCCGCGGUACUUAUAACGAACGGCCAUCGUCGAUGGUAACCAAACACUUGUUCUGACCAGCGUUGGAAAGGUGCGAUAAGUGCUAGGCAUUGCACGCGAUAGUGGUUGCAGGAACCACUUUAUCUCUCUUUGUUGCUACUUUAGCCAAAGUGCAUCAGACACUCGGUAGUCAUAAGCUCGAUGAAACACCACUGCGCUCUUGUGCGAGAGUAGGACUCGUGCCUGAGGACAACGGCAUACCGGAUCAUGGACAGGGACGGGUGUACCGUUUUCAAGACCACGUCGUCGCCAGCGUCAAUUGGCGACCGACGCGCUUCGACGGCGAGGUGCCGAAUUCACGUGUAUGCGGCCGCUGCCGCGUGAUCCCAAGACGUACCAUGCUGUUGCCGUGCGGUCAACGCUCUGUGCCUGUCUUGCCACGCAGCCAUUUUCGAAGGGGGCGUUGGGCAGUGUCCAUUGGAUCAAGAGCCAUUCGAAGAAGCGGAGUGCUUUGGUUAUGAAUUACCUACCAGGAAAGCGAGCACCUUGAAGGGUGUAUUGCUGAAACGAAGCGCACGGCUGCGAGUACACGGGCACCAUGGAGCGUGUACUGGAACACUACGAGACCGAACGCACGUUUCACGCCGUGGAGUGUUUGCGACGGGGCGAGGGAGUCCAGCACAAAGACCUGUCAACGCACUACGUGGCCGGAUGCACUGCCCGUGUUUCUGCCGCGAUCACAGAGUGCCCGUCCUCGGAACCUACAGCUCUGACCCUUGAAGACGUGAACGCUGCCCUUGAAGACCUGAAGACGGUGUUGGGGGACGCCAACCAUGACCGGCUGCUGCCAGUGAUUCAGAAUCAGUUGAAUGAGCUUACAGAACAAGUCAGAAGCCAGGAAACUAGAUUCGCAGGGAUUACUCGUGAUAUCGGAGCAUCCGAUCUCACAUUUUAAAGGGUGACGGGGCUCAAAUGACCACCACGAUCUCAUUAACCGUGUCGCACCAGCUGACUUUUCUGAGAAACGCGACGGAAGAAGCCAGCACGUCGUCGUCGCUGUCGUUGCACGCGGAAAAGGCGCUGAUACUUCUAAGGUUCGAACACUUAGCCGACCUGGAACACUCGCGGCAAACUUCCCCGAAGCCUGAUUCCAAUCAUGUAAUUAUGUAAUUACUCAUUGUAAGAGUUUGUACGGUGGCGUUCGGCAUUUAACCAGCGCGAUAUCAAUGACAGCCACACGGAUUAGAAAAAUUGGAAGAGUGCUUUAUGUCCUGAUCCUGGAAAACUGUGACGUAAUCAUUCAGCGGCAGGGAUCGAGGAAAAAGUUUGCCUAGAUUAUGGUGUGACACAUGAGGAACGCGUACUUUCCUGUUGCUAUCUUGAAGGGCUGGGGUAUGUGUGGGCCUGCUCUCACUGUGGAGAUCGAGUUUAACGGGUUGCUGGUGGACUCCAGGUGUUCGCCGCCUUUUUGGCACGUGAGCGUGUGGGAUAGUGUAAUACACAAGCAUUGUUCGUUUACUUCCCGUGCCAUGCCUUGUUUCUGCGACCGCUAUGAUGACUCAUUGCUGCACUUUCACCUAGAAUUCCAUAUAGGUAUUGCCUCACCGAAAAAUGAUGGUUUCCUCCGACACGGAAAGACGAAGUUCGAACUCUUGCUCAACGAUAGAGAAAUGGACGGUGGUGUCAAAAGAGCACGCUAACGUUCAUCCUCGCAGAAUGUGUACUGCACUACUGGAUGGUCCUUGCCACUUCCCAUGUGUGGGACAUGAGCUUAUCGAACUUUUGAUGUCCUUACUCCUUAAUGAAAUUGGCUCUGCGAAAUGUUUUAAUUUUUAUGCUUUUUAACUGUGUAACCUUUAACUUUUUACCUUUUAAC
Long non-coding RNA from Dermacentor andersoni, 1999 nucleotides. RefSeq lists it as uncharacterized. The record is from RefSeq and is a predicted model, not a curated record. Lineage: Eukaryota; Metazoa; Arthropoda; Arachnida; Ixodida; Ixodidae.